RNAcentral lists this unclassified non-coding RNA (410 nucleotides) under Hevea brasiliensis (rubber tree). The record is from RNAcentral. Lineage: Eukaryota; Viridiplantae; Streptophyta; Magnoliopsida; Malpighiales; Euphorbiaceae.
AUAAAUAAACACAACUUCCAUAGUUUUACAGAAGAAUCUUCAACAUCAAGACGAUGCUAAACGCUAACGACAGUAUCCAGCAACCCGAGAAGAAAAAUGGAAUCCACGAGUCGUGAGGUACGACGAGUAUUAACUACAUAUUGGUAUACAUGCUCCUCCAUCUGGAUUUCGUUUUUCCUUCCAUAUUUUUCCAGUAACACGUAGCUUAAGCUCUUUUCUGUCGCCUCCAGAGAAGAAAAGUGCCAUGUUACGUUGUAUAAUAAGCCCGUCAUGGCUAUCCCUAACUUUCCUAUGACUAUCUCUUAUGCUCCGAGGGGUACCCUCCCAGAUAAGUUUCCUUCCAUUGCCCCCGACUUCAAGGCUGUAGCUGUAGUUUCGAGCAUCUGUCUCAUCUCCCAUAAACCGAAGAA